RNAcentral lists this ribosomal RNA (306 nucleotides) under Triticum aestivum (bread wheat). RNAcentral describes it as "partial small subunit ribosomal RNA". The record is from RNAcentral. Lineage: Eukaryota; Viridiplantae; Streptophyta; Magnoliopsida; Poales; Poaceae.
AUGAAUUGCCUCAGCUGGAACUGUCGCGGGCUUGGGAACCCCGCGACAGUUCGCGAGCUUCGCAGUGUGGUGAAGCAAGAAGGGCCCGGUCUCUUAUUUCUGAUGGAGACUAAAAUUGGGGCGAAGAGGGUACAAAGUCUGCAAAAUCUUCUGGGAUUUUCGGGCUGUUUUGCAGUUGAUAGCGAUGGUUUAAGUGGUGGCAUUGGUCUAUUCUGGACAAAUGAUGUUCAGGUGGAUCUUCAGAGUUUCAGUUCAGGGCACAUAGACGCGAUGGUGCAGAAUAAUAAUUUGCACCGGAAUAAAUGA